Molecule: ribosomal RNA, 471 nt
Filed under: uncultured bacterium
Lineage: Bacteria
Description: partial 16S ribosomal RNA
Rfam family: Bacterial small subunit ribosomal RNA
Source: RNAcentral
GACGAACGCUGGCGGCGUGCCUCAUACAUGCAAGUCGAGCGGAUGCAGGAAUGCAUUAGCGGCGGACGGGUGAGUAACACGUGGGCAACCUGGCCUUAAGAGGGGGAUAACGUUCCGAAAGGGACGCUAAUACCGCGUAAAUCAGCGAAAUCGCAUGAUUUUGUUGGAAAAGGAGAAAUCCGCUUAAGGAUGGGCCCGCGGCCUAUUAGCUAGUUGGUAGGGUAACGGCCUACCAAGGCGACGAUAGGUAGCCGACCUGAGAGGGUGAACGGCCACACUGGAACUGAGAAACGGUCCAGACUCCUACGGGAGGCAGCAGUAGGGAAUAUUCCGCAAUGGGCGAAAGCCUGACGGAGCAACGCCGCGUGAGUGAAGAAGGUCUUCGGAUCGUAAAGCUCUGUCAACAGGGACGAAACAAGACGGUACCUGAGAAGGAAGCCACGGCAAACUACGUGCCAGCCGCCGCCGUAA